UCUAAAUGGGGCGUGGCCAAGUGGUAAGGCAACGGGUUUUGGUCCCGCUAUUCGGAGGUUCGAAUCCUUCCG
This 72-nucleotide transfer RNA is filed under the name Hedera helix. Its description in RNAcentral is "tRNA-Gln". It matches the Rfam family "tRNA". Rfam says of the family: Transfer RNA (tRNA) molecules are approximately 80 nucleotides in length. Their secondary structure includes four short double-helical elements and three loops (D, anti-codon, and T loops). The record is from RNAcentral. RNAcentral also lists the same sequence under 1 other name. Lineage: Eukaryota; Viridiplantae; Streptophyta; Magnoliopsida; Apiales; Araliaceae.